This 374-nucleotide ribosomal RNA is filed under the name uncultured organism. Its description in RNAcentral is "partial 16S ribosomal RNA". It matches the Rfam family "Bacterial small subunit ribosomal RNA", at positions 527 to 896 of the family's 1533-position model. The record is from RNAcentral.
GUAGGUGGCAAGCGUUGUCCGGGAAUUAUUGGGGCGUAAAGCGCGCGCAGGCGGUUCUUUAAGUCUGAUGUGAAAGCCCACGGGCUCAACCGUGGAGGGUCAUUGGAAACUGGAGAACUUGAGUACAGAAGAGGAAAGCGGAAUUCCACGUGUAGCGGUGAGAUGCGUAGAGAUGUGGAGGAACACCAGUGGCGAAGGCGGCUUUCUGGUCUGUAACUGACGCUGAGGCGCGAAAGCGUGGGGAGCAAACAGGAUUAGAUACCCUGGUAGUCCACGCCGUAAACGAUGAGUGCUAAGUGUUAGGGGUUUCCGCCCCUUAGUGCUGCAGCUAACGCAUUAAGCACUCCGCCUGGGGAGUACGGCCGCAAAGGCUG